AAAUUUUUGCCAAACAAAUCAAAUUUUCAUCCCCCUCACGCAAGAAGUAGGGACUCGGUGGAUGCAUAACUUCGCCCAAAAACCUGCUACAUCAUCGUAGUGAUUAACAAGCUUGUUCAAGUUCCUGCGGUCUAUUCUGCUGGCCCCAAAAACCUGCUACAUCAUCGUAGUGAUUAACAAGCUUGUUCAAGUUCCUGCGGUCUAUUCUGCUGGC
RNAcentral lists this unclassified non-coding RNA (214 nucleotides) under Hevea brasiliensis (rubber tree). The record is from RNAcentral. Lineage: Eukaryota; Viridiplantae; Streptophyta; Magnoliopsida; Malpighiales; Euphorbiaceae.